This 200-nucleotide unclassified non-coding RNA is filed under the name soil metagenome. RNAcentral's name for it is "partial contains internal transcribed spacer 2 and large subunit ribosomal RNA". The record is from RNAcentral.
AUGCAGCCGGCUCCUCUCAAAUGAAUCAGCUUACCAGUCUUUGGUGGCGUCACGGGUGUGAUAACUAUCUACGCUUGUGGUUUCCCAUCAGGUAACCUUCAGCGAUGGAGGUUCACCGGGGCUUAUAAACAUCUCUCCUCAGUGAGGACAGAUUUUGACCGUUUGAUCUCAAAUCAGGUAGGACUACCCGCUGAACUUAA